GAACGAAAAUCCGUUGGUUUCACAGGACCGUGAGGGUUCGACUCCCUCUAUCCCCAACA
RNAcentral lists this transfer RNA (59 nucleotides) under Pleocnemia winitii. RNAcentral's name for it is "partial tRNA-Leu". Lineage: Eukaryota; Viridiplantae; Streptophyta; Polypodiopsida; Polypodiales; Dryopteridaceae. The record is from RNAcentral.